GUUUUGGUGACCGAGUUUUAGGUGAAAGAUUUUUAAUCUUUUUACGGAUAAUUUCCUCAAAGCA
RNAcentral lists this transfer RNA (64 nucleotides) under Tyrannodoris europaea. RNAcentral's name for it is "Roboastra europaea tRNA-Lys". The record is from RNAcentral. Lineage: Eukaryota; Metazoa; Mollusca; Gastropoda; Nudibranchia; Polyceridae.